GUGGGGAAUAUUGGACAAUGGGCGAAAGCCUGAUCCAGCCAUGCCGCGUGUGUGAAGAAGGUCUUCGGAUUGUAAAGCACUUUAAGUUGGGAGGAAGGGCAGUAAGUUAAUACCUUGCUGUUUUGACGUUACCGACAGAAUAAGCACCGGCUAACUUCGUGCCAGCAGCCGCGGUAAUACGAAGGGUGCAAGCGUUAAUCGGAAUUACUGGGCGUAAAGCGCGCGUAGGUGGUUUUGUAAGUUGGAGGUGAAAUCCCCGGGCUCAACCUGGGAACUGCUUCCAAAACUGGAUGACUAGAGUACGGUAGAGGGGAGUGGAAUGUCCUGUGUAGCGGUGAAAUGCGUAGAUAUAGGAAGGAACACCAGUGGCGAGGGCGACUACCUGGACUGAUACUGACACUGAGGUGCGAAAGCGUGGGGAGCAAACAGGAUUAGAUACCCUAGUAGUCC
Molecule: ribosomal RNA, 450 nt
Filed under: uncultured bacterium
Lineage: Bacteria
Description: partial 16S ribosomal RNA
Rfam family: Bacterial small subunit ribosomal RNA
Source: RNAcentral